Non-coding RNA from Manis javanica (Malayan pangolin), 3701 nucleotides. The record is from RefSeq and is a predicted model, not a curated record. NCBI's taxonomy places the organism in Eukaryota, Metazoa, Chordata, Mammalia, Pholidota, Manidae.
AAUUCCAGUGAAUAAGCAAGUGGCCUGUUGACAACCUGGGAUAGAGAGCGGCACGCUUCCUGUACCUCCCAUAGUGUUAGGCAGGGAGCAGGCCUGAGACUGGGGCUGGCCGUUUUCUGUGGGGCCUUUCUGUAGAGUGGCCUGUGCUGUGCCUGUCACCAGUAACGGCAGGCGCAUGCAGCAGGCAGGCUGUGUGCGUGGUCGGGCUGGGUGGGCCACUGGAAGGCAUUCUGGGAGCAGCAGCAGCUGGGUAAGGGGAGGGCAUCAAGGCUCUCGAGUCAGAGCCUUAGCAGCCAGGAGAGGCCUGUAGCACUAGUUGCUCUGACAGCUUCUAGAAGGUUCCUACAGUCUCAUGAUAAUGAUGGUGAUGAUGAUAACAGCUACAUGAACAGCAUGCCAGGCACUGAGUGAAAUGCUGUACAGUUUUAUCCCAUUUAAUCCCCAUGGCAACCCUGACAGAUGGGCACCACUGUUACCCCCAGUUUACAGAUGAGGAAGAUGAGGUUCAGAGAAGCAAAGUAACUUGCUCUGAGUCACAUGGUAAGUGGCAGAGCUAGAGGUCAAAGCAGGUCUGACUUACUCCAAAAUCUGCACUGUUAAACACAAAUACUACAAGUUCAAUGUCCAAAGCCUACCCCUUAUGCUUAUGCCUGCCUGCGUCCUCCCUCAACAGCGUCUCCCACUGGGGACGGUAAGCACAGCGACAGGCCCCAGGUUCAUCCAGCUACCGGCGCGUGGGGGCACCCAAGGAAGGGAGCGGCAGGAUUUCCUUCAGAGAGACUUCCGGACUUAGACGGCCGAUUCAAGGCAUGUGUGUCAAUUCACUCCUUCCCAGAGCCCUGUAAGUACAGCAAGGGUCUGGUGUCGCGUUUAAAGGACAAUCCCACAAGGAGAAGGAGAGCAGGAAGGCAAACAGCCACAUCACAAUUUCCUCAGCUAAGGAGUAGCUAUCCUGGGGAAUGAACGGGCUGCACAGCCCCAAGGAAGGUGAAUCACAACACGGCACAAAGGAAAGCAGAAAAGCAGCUUCGUCCGGAUGGCAGAAUCUUCAUCAGGCUCAGAACAGGCGCCCCAGUUGUCUCUGGAACUGGGAGGUAAAGUGGAUGGGGAUGGCCAUGUAAGGGGGUAGACUCCCGGGUCCCCUCCCCGGCUCCAUGUCCUUGGUUUUCUGCCUCUCCCUGACCCUGGCGGAGAUCUGGCUAGACCACUGCUGCUCAGUUCCCUGCUCUGCCUUUCGUACCCUGCUGCCCACAUCAGCUGGCACGCUCACUUCACACCACGGAAGUGUCCUGCGUUGACCUACACCUGGAAGCUGGGGGACCUGGAGGCAGGCUGUGGUGUGCCUGAAAGCCAGCACCAAGGAUGGCCCAAUCCCAUGUCCACGACUGCCAAGCAUCCUGAGUGGUGGGCUCUUCACAUCCCCCACUCCAUCAUGCCUUAGACUAUGACCUCCCAAAGAGGGGAACUGGGGACAGACACGACCGGGGAUUACUCAGCCUCUCUCCUUCCGGCAGCCUUCAUCAAAUGUGACUGCUGCCUGCAUGCCUAGGCUGUGCUCAACACUCAGUUCUUCCAAAUGAAGCGACUGCUUGUUUAAGAGUUCAUUAAUAAGUGGUGAAACUACAUAGAAAAGCGAGAGAAUCAUUAUGUCAGAAUCAACAUAGCGGGCACGUCUCAGGGGAGGGAGAGGAUGUGACCAGGGGUCUACUCAGGGGAUGGCAACGUUCUAUUUCUCAACCUAAUUGAUGGUGACACGGGUGUUCACUUGACACUUCUUUAAGCUGUGCAUAUAGGCCUUGCAUGCUUUUCUGUAUCUGUGCUGUAUUUCACAAUGAAAGGAAAAGGCUAUAUAUACAGCUGGAUGCUAGUAAUAGUUCUGCAUAGAAAAAAAAGAAAUAUUGCAUUCCAACAUGUUGCCAGUGGUUAUCCCUUUUUUUUAUAUAGCACACAUAUUUAUUUCACUAUCCCAAGGGGCUUGUGUUUUGUCCACACUUGUAAUAACCAGAAGAUCAUGAAAAAAAAAAAAAAAGAUAAGGUCCCCAUCUGAAAGGGAAACUAAUGAAGACCAACACAAAAUAAGAUGGUACAAGCCAUCUGUGGAAAUCUGUGCAGAAAACAGCUCCUUUGGAGAGAUUGGUGAUGUGCGUCAUCUACAAAGGAUCAGCUCAAAGCUUGCCGGGGAGCCCAGAGCUGCCUCUCAGAAGUCAGAAGAGUUGUUAUUUGUAGGAAGGAGCAGCUACACGGGGGCUUGUAAGAUAUUCUGAAUAUUCAAUUUCUUAAUCUGGUUGGUGGGUACAUGGGUGUUGGUUUUAUUAUAUGUUUUAUACACUCUUCCGAAUGUGCUGUAGGGAUUUGAAUCAACCAGGAAUCAUUUAAGUAGAAAAUACAGUGCUACUUCAAAGGAACAACUCAAGUUCAUGUAAAAUCACCAUUAUUUAGAAUACAAAAGUCACUUUGGGAUUUUGAUCUCAUUUUCUUUUCUGCUGCCAGCCCCAGCCAGCUCUUUCUAGAGCUGUUCCCUCAGAGGGGAUCAGGGUGGGGUCAAGACGGCAGGGACCCAGCUCAGCACACUCCUCAUGGGAUUUAGGGUUGGCCUGCCUUCCUCCCCUGGGUUUUGUCCACAGAGAGGCGCACAAGUAGGUAUUCUGACGGCACCCGAACCCAGUUUCCUGCUGCUCCUCUUUCUCACGGGACCUCUCCGGUCCCCGCCCCUUCCGUACCUUAUGGAGUGGGGCACCACUCUCUACUUCCCUUGAAGGUCUCAUCUUGUCUUCUUCUGACCCAUCUGUCUGCCUGGGGCUGAGUGGUCUCCCUACUGCCCUAGCCCUUCUAACUCAGGAGAAAUGAGAGAUCACCUCCUCAAGCCAUCACCCUCUGCAGAGGAAGGAGAGGUCCAUGGUUUUCACAAGAAGGCCAAGCAAUGGGAGGCCGCCUUCCCUGGUCUGAAUGCCAGGAAAGGAGACUCAAAAGAAGCUGGAGUGCGCAGCUUCAGGGUGGGCCUGGAAGACACACGCCUGCACAAAAAGCAAUGACAUGAAGGAGAGAAGAGGGCCCCACACACAGCUGACCUUUUGGGAUCCCUCUGUGAACCUCACUGACAGUAAGUAAAAAGGGCACCCACACUCCUGGGACCAGUGGGACUGUGCUGAGGAAGCCCUGCUCUGCAUACUGUUGAGAGCCACUGCCCCCGCCAGGGCACACAGGGCCGUGCCCCUGGGCAUGGCUUGCAGCCUUGGUGCCUGGCUCUGGGUGGACCUCUGCCUGGGCCUCUGAAGAGUGCAUGUUAGAAGAGGAGACAAAGAGUUCAGGAGGCCAAGGCAACACUGUGGUGGAGCAUCAGUAUGCGGUCCCCUCCACUGCUUUGACAGUGACAGCAGGGCAAUCCCAGGCAGCUGGCCAUUGGAAUGCAGUCUCCUUAAUCAUGACCAGGAACUAGGAGGACUCCUUGCGGGGCCAGCAAGGCCUCCGUCAUGCAUGUCUGGAGGAAGCUGGACCCUCAGAAAAGCUCCAUCUGAGCUGCCCAGGGACUCUGGGAAGAGCCUUGCCAGCCAUAGCUACUGAAGGAAGGAUGUGGUGGUCUUGCUGAUGGCUGUUCAGAACUCUUGCCAUGGGGAGUGUAAUUCGGAGCCUCCAGAAGCUGUCCCCUUGAUUUGUCACUGCAUUUGGCCUGGACCCCACUCCAACCAAUGAACUGACUAUGG